RNAcentral lists this ribosomal RNA (240 nucleotides) under Staphylococcus aureus. RNAcentral's name for it is "partial 23S ribosomal RNA". It matches the Rfam family "Bacterial large subunit ribosomal RNA", at positions 2686 to 2925 of the family's 2925-position model. The record is from RNAcentral. Lineage: Bacteria; Bacillati; Bacillota; Bacilli; Caryophanales; Staphylococcaceae.
AGAGGACCGGGAUGGACAUACCUCUGGUGUACCAGUUGUCGUGCCAACGGCAUAGCUGGGUAGCUAUGUGUGGACGGGAUAAGUGCUGAAAGCAUCUAAGCAUGAAGCCCCCCUCAAGAUGAGAUUUCCCAACUUCGGUUAUAAGAUCCCUCAAAGAUGAUGAGGUUAAUAGGUUCGAGGUGGAAGCAUGGUGACAUGUGGAGCUGACGAAUACUAAUCGAUCGAAGACUUAAUCAAAUU